CCUACGGGGGGCAGCAGUGGGGAAUCUUGCACAAUGGGGGAAACCCUGAUGCAGCGACGCCGCGUGAGUGAAGCAGUCUUUCGGUAUGUAAAGCUCUAUCAGCAGGGAAGAAAAUGACGGUACCUUCUUAAGAAGCCCCGGCUAACUCCGUGCCAGCAGCCGCGGUAAUACGUAGGGGGCAAGCGUUAUCCGGAUUUACUGGGGGUAAAGGGAGCGUAGACGGCAGCGCAAGUCUGAAGUGAAAUGCCGGGGCUUAACCCCGGAAUUGCUUUGGAAACUGUGGAGCUAGAGUGCAGGAGAGGUAAGUGGAAUUCCUAGUGUAGCGGUGAAAUGCGUAGAUAUUAGGAGGAACAGCAGUGGCGAAGGCGGCUUACUGGACUGUAACUGACGUUGAGGCUCGAAAGCGUGGGGAGCAAAUAGGAUUAGAUACCCUUGUAGUC
RNAcentral lists this ribosomal RNA (440 nucleotides) under uncultured bacterium. RNAcentral's name for it is "partial 16S ribosomal RNA". It matches the Rfam family "Bacterial small subunit ribosomal RNA", at positions 338 to 795 of the family's 1533-position model. The record is from RNAcentral.